AGUGCCUACGGGGCGCAGCAGUGAGGAAUAUUGGUCAAUGGGCGGGAGCCUGAACCAGCCAAGUCGCGUGAGGGAUGACGGCCCUAUGGGUUGUAAACCUCUUUUGCCGGGGAGCAAAGUGCCGCACGUGUGCGGUUUGGAGAGUACCCGGAGAAAAAGCAUCGGCUAACUCCGUGCCAGCAGCCGCGGUAAUACGUAGGGGGCAAGCGUUAUUCGGAUUUACUGGGUGUAAAGGGAGCGUAGACGGCAGGGCAAGUCUGGAGUGAAAGCCCGGGGCCCAACCCCGGGACUGCUU
Molecule: ribosomal RNA, 295 nt
Filed under: uncultured bacterium
Lineage: Bacteria
Description: partial 16S ribosomal RNA
Rfam family: Bacterial small subunit ribosomal RNA
Source: RNAcentral